This 497-nucleotide ribosomal RNA is filed under the name uncultured bacterium. RNAcentral describes it as "partial 16S ribosomal RNA". It matches the Rfam family "Bacterial small subunit ribosomal RNA", at positions 28 to 507 of the family's 1533-position model. The record is from RNAcentral.
GAUGAACGCUGGCGGCGUGCCUAAUACAUGCAAGUCGAGCGAACAGACGAGGCGCUUGCUCCUCUGACGUUAGCGGCGGACGGGUGAGUAACACGUGGAUAACCUACCUAUAAGACUGGGAUAACUUCGGGAAAGCGGAGCUAAUACCGGAUAAUCUAUUGAACCGCAUGGUUCAAUAGUGAAAGACGGUUUUGCUGUCACUUAUAGAUGGAUCCGCGCCGCAUUAGCUAGUUGGUACGGUAACGGCUUACCAAGGCAACGAUGCGUAACCGACCUGAGAGGGUGAUAGGCCACACUGGAACUGAGACACGGUCCAGACUCCUACGGGAGGCAGCAGUAGGGAAUCGUCCGCAAUGGGCGAAAGCCUGACGGAGCAACGCCGCGUGAGUGAUGAAGGUCUUCGGAUCGUAAAACUCUGUUAUGAGGGAAGAACAAAUGUGUAAGUAACUAUGCACGUCUUGACGGUACCUAAUCAGAAAGCCACGGCUAACUACGUG